CCUCCUUCCCGCGACCAGCGCAACCCUUUCCUAUUGCAAAUGAGGGUUCGAUUGUGGUUGUUAAUUUCUUUUGCUUUUCCUUUGUUUUUCUUUAAGAUUUUUCAGUUUUAUUGUUGAUUUCUUACUCCUUUUCUAUCAGGGAUCUACAAAUUUAAGUUCUUUGUUCAAGUAUUGUCUACCUCCCGCUGCUUUUGCGUCUCAGUGUUAGCCCCGAAACUCAGGUAAAAGAAGUGGGAGCUUGAAAACUUGAUUUUGUUCAAACAAUUGGGAUAGCCACAUAAGCCCCAAAAAUGGCUUCAGGAGAAGAAUCUUACAGGUAUAGCUUUCAGUCCAGAUUCUGGUUAUUGAAAGAUGAUUUCAUAUUUGAAAUGGUUUUUUUUUUAGGAUUUAUAGUUGUUUGAAAGAAGACAUCUAGCAAGAUGCGAAUUUCGUCUUAUUAAUUCCUGUAGGACAGAUCCCAACAUCCUCUAUGAAAGAAGUCGAGUCUGGAGCCUUAAAUGAAACCAUGUCUUUCGAAAUGGGAAUGGAAUACAACGCCCUAUCAUUAUCCAAUUCUUAUGCCAAAAAGUCCGACUUUCCUCCGAUGGCUUUGGCUUAGGCUAGAAUGGAAUACGCACUUAGAGAGACUGGAGUAGGUAAACGUAAACCUAUAAAAAUCCUCACUAGAUGAGGGCAACCAUAGUUGGUGCUCGACCGAACCCUUGACCCUAACCCUGGGAUGUGCCGGCUAUAUGCAUUAGUUGAUUUCUCAUUGAGAACACAGGAAUCAAUCCAUGGAGCUUUGCCCGGAGAAAAUAAAAUAUCAUGAAUCAAUCCAUUUAUGAUAUAGCCAUAGCAGUAGCAGUAAGAAAGUCAAUCUAUUUCC
Molecule: long non-coding RNA, 865 nt
Organism: Rhododendron vialii
Lineage: Eukaryota; Viridiplantae; Streptophyta; Magnoliopsida; Ericales; Ericaceae
Exons: 2
Source: RefSeq, a predicted model, not a curated record